AUAUGGGGCAAGGCAAGGGAAGGGCACAGGGCUGGUUGGGAUGAAUUUCUCUGCUUCUGUAUAGGUCCCUUGAAAGCAUUACAACCAUGCAUGAACAUCUGGUGAGACUUUGGAUAACAAGAGGAGGAAGGGGGGGAGAGAAGAAGAAGGAUCUGAGAAGCACUGUGUUGGGGUUCUCUUUCUACCAUUUCAGCCCCGGUCUGAAGUGAUUAUUUGCAUCUUCAUGAAUAAAUACAGCAAUACUAUCUCCCCAGAGACUUCACAUACCUUGCUAGGGAAUCUCUCUUAAGUGCGUAACUGACGAGAUAAUAUACGACACUGCAAUUAGCGAAAAAGGAAACGGAAACACUCUCAAGCAUUAUCUGCUUCUCGUUCUUUAAUAUUAAUGCUAACUGUCUGUGAAAGUUGUAUUAACAAUAAUUCACAGAGAAUUACCUGUUGAGCUAAACCAUGGGAUGAAGCUGAAUCACUUGGUAGCCAGAUUGGAGUGUAGUGCUACUUAUACUUAUCCCCCAAAGCUGCUGCUUCCUGUCCCUUUCUCUUAGUCAGCAGCAACAGACAUCAAGUCAUACAAAUUAGCUGCUACUGUACUUUUCCUAAGUGCAACACAGUCACUUUGAAAUAUAAGCUGACCAUAGGAAUCAAACAAGGGGGUCCCUGCAAAAAUAUGAUGCAUGGGAUCAUGUUGUUCUAAUAGGAGCAAGUCAGUGGUGAAAUUGAGAAGGAGCUGUUAGGUAUGUCGUACCAGCCCAAGAUCUGAAGGCAGUUAGGGAGUUAUCUCAGCAAGCUACAGUGGUGCCCCGCAAGAUGAAUGCCUCGCAAGACAAAAACUCACUAGACAAAAGGGGUUUUCGUUUUUUGAGGUGCUUCGCAAGACGAAUUUCCCUAUGGGCUUGCUUCGCAAGACGAAAACGUCUUGCAAGUUUGUUUCCUUUUUCGUAAAACCGUUAAUACCCAGGGUGCAUUGCUUGAAGAGGUGCAGUUGCGACUUGACUUCGAGGAGCAACUCAUAGCACGCGGUGUGGUAGCCUUUUUUGAGGUUUUUGAAGACUUUGGUGAUUUUUGAAGCUUUUCCAAAACUUCUUUUGCAGCCAUUUGGUAAGUUAAACUUUUAAAACUUUUUGGGGGGGGUUGGAUUUGGGGUUGGGGUGUUUGGAAUUCAAGGACUUGGUGUUGGGGAGGGGUUUGCAAGAAUCCGGAAGCUUGUGGUUUUUUUUCUGCAUUUUUAUGAUUUUCUGUGACCAUUGGGCCACUCUGCUGUUUUUUUAAAAAAAAUUCUGGAUUUGAAUUUCUGUGUGGUGGGUGGCUGAGGGAACAGUUGGGGAGGGGUUUGCAAGAAUCUGGAAGCUUGUGGUUUUUUCUGCAUUUUUAUGAUUUUCUGUGACCAUUGGGUCACUCUGCUGUUUUUUUAACAAAAAAAAUUCUGGGUUUGAAUUUCUGUGUGGUGGGUGACUGGGGGAACAGUUGGGGAGGGGUUUGCAACAGUUGGGGAGGGGUUUGCAAUUUCUGUGUGGUGGGUGGCUGGGGGAAUAGUUGAGGUUUUUGAAGACUUUGGUGAUUUUUGAAGCUUUUCCAAAACUUCUUUUGCAGCCAUUCGGUAAGUUAAACUUUUAAAACUUUUUUGGGGGGUUUUGGAUUUUGCGUUGGGGUGUUUGGAAUUCAAGGACUUGGUUCUGGGUUUGAGUUUCUGUGUGGUGGGUGGCUGGGUGCUUUUGAAUUUUUUGGAUGUGAAGCACUGAUUUUUUGAUUUUUUUGGGGGGGGGUUGUGCAGGUAGGUUUGUGCUGCCAUGGGACCCAAGAAGACUGCUGCUGCAGAGGCCAGCGAGGGGACGAAGGAGAAGGUUACGCUGGAAAUGAAGAAGGAGAUCAUCCGGAAGCACGACGGUGGAAUGCGUGUGACAUACCUCGCCAGGGAGUACGGGAGGAAUCCAUCGACCAUCGGGACCAUCCUGAAGAUGAGGGAGAAGAUCCUUGCGACUGAUGCAGCCAAGGGAGUCACCAGGAUCGUGAAGAACCGCCCAGCUGUUCUGGAGGAGGUGGAGAAGUUGCUGCUCAUCUGGUUAGAAGAGAAGCAGCGUGCAGGGGACACAGUGACUGAGGCCGUGAUUUGUGAGAAGGCCAAGGCCUUGCACGCAGACCUCGUCCGGGAACAGCCAGGAACCUCAGGCGAGCCAGAAGUCUUCAAGGCAAGCAGAGGCUGGUUUGACCGGUUCAAGACAAGAUCUGGAAUCCACAGCGUGGUCAGGCAUAGAGAGGCUGCCAGUUCUGAUGUUUCUGCGGCUGAAGACUUUGCAGCGGAGUUCCUGGAGGUUGUGAAGACGGAGGGCUACGUUCCACAGCAGGUCUUCAAUUGCGACGAGACCGGGCUGUUUUGGAAGAGGAUGCCCAAAAGGACUUUCAUCACACAGGAGGAGGCCAAGUUGCCUGGCCACAAGCCCAUGAAGGACCGUCUGACCCUGCUCUUCUGUGCCAACGCAAGCGGCAACCUGAAGAUCAAGCCCCUGCUGGUGUACCACUCGGAGAACCCACGGGCCUUCAAGAAACACAAGGUCGACAAGGAGCAGCUGAGUGUCAUGUGGCGAUCCAACAGUAAGGCUUGGGUCACACGUGUGCUAUUUGUGGACUGGGUCAAUCUUGCUUUUGGCCCUGCUGUCAAACAGUACCUGCUGGACAACGACCUGCCGCUGAAGGCUUUGCUUCUGAUGGACAAUGCUCCUGCUCAUCCUAAAGGCCUUGAGGAGGACUUGUUGGAGGAGUUCAGCUUCAUCAGCAUCAUGUUCCUGCCGCCUAACACCACGCCACUGCUCCAGCCGAUGGAUCAGCAGGUCAUCGCCAAUUUCAAAAACUCUACACCAAGGAGCUUUUCAGGCGAUGCUUCGAGGUGACUGAUUGCACCACCAUCACCCUGCGGGAAUUCUGGAAGGACCACUUCGACAUCGUCACCUGCUUGAAGAUGAUCACCACGGCCUGGAACAGGAUCAGCCAGAGAAAUUUGAAUUGCGCUUGGCGCAGCCUGUGGCCAGACUGUGUGGCACCAAGUGACUCUGAUGCACCAGAGUCAACAGUGGUGCAGGACAUUGUUGCCUUGGGGAGGACCAUGGGCCUGGAGGUCACAGAGGAGGACAUCAGCGAGCUGGUGGAGGAGCGCGACCAUGAGCUGACCACCCAGGAGCUGGUCAAACUGCAGGCAGAGGCUGCGCAGGAGCAGGCCUCGCUGGAAGAGGAGGAAGCAACUGAGGAACGGCUGUCCUCCAAAGAACUGAGGGACAUUUGCCUGAAGUGGAAGGAUGUGCAGGCUUUUGCACAGCGGCACCACCCUGACAAGCACGUGGCACAUGACCUUGCGAACACUUUUGAUACGAGGGUCAUGUCGCCUUUCAGGGAGGUGCUGAAAAGGCGGAUGAAGCAGCAGACCAUGGACACAUUCUUUAGCAAGAAGCAAAGAGUGGAAGAGGAACCUUCUUCGAGUUGUCCCCCAGAGUCUUAGAAAAUGUACUGUACACUUUGUUGAUUUUUAAAUGUUUUUCUGUCAUGUUUAGAAACUUAAUUUAUUGUUCCUUCAAUUUUUGAAAUGCUCUUUACAGUAUGUGUGACUUUAAAGAGCACUUAAUAAACUCUUGUUGUACCAAAUUUGGCUUUGUUUGGACUUUUUUUUACCAUAGGAACGCAUUAAUUGAAUUUCAAUGCAUUCCUAUGGGAUUUCGUGCUUCGCAAGACGAAAAAUUCGCUAGAUGAAAAAACUCGCGGAACGAAUUAAUUUCGUCUUGCGAGGCACCACUGUACCGGUAUAUGCUGUCAUUUGUUAGUUUUACUAAAAAAAAACACCUAGAUUGGAUUUGUUGUAAAGGGAGAUGGGGCACCCCUUUUUUAAACAAAAAUCUAAAUAUGUUCAGAUGGGCUGCAGGUACUCAACAAGAAAGGUACUCACUAUAUGAACAGAGGCUACUACUAUUGAUUAUCAACUUUUAUGUAUUUUUUUUUAAAGCAUAUCCAAAGUUGGUGGGGUAUUUGUUGUUGAGUUAAAGAUGAUGUGAUAGAGCUAAAAGAGCAAAAUAGCCUGCAGGUUCCCACCAUCAUACAGCCUGCUUAGACCACUGGAACAAAUACGGUGGUCCAGAUCUCCAACUAUUUCAAUUUCCAACUCUCCUUUAGGCCAUUUUUUACAAAACGGGUCUAUAUACCAAAGAUGGUUCCUACCUGAAGAUGGUCUCUGGCCAUAGCUGUCAACUUACAGAUUUGAAAAUAAGGGACCAGCAGCCUCGAAAAUAAGGGAUCAGCAGCCAAAAUAAGGGAUCAACAAUUACUUUGAUAAAAUACAUAUUUUGUUGUGUGCAAAUGGCUUUAGAUACCUAUUAGGUCCAUAAAUUACCAUAUAGCAUAUAUUCAACACAAAAAAAGCAACAAUUUGUUGUUGACAAAGAACAGCUGGAUAUAGAAAGGGCCCCAUUACCUUCAGUAGUGUAUUUAAGGGACAUCAUCAAUAAGGGACAGCAGCCCGGCAUGGCGUUGGGAUAAGGGACUGUCCCGCCAAAUAAGGGACGCUUGACAGCUAUGUCUCUGGUUUGUGCCCUAUAUCAUAAGCUACGCUCAAAUGAUAGUACUUAGGGCCCUGACUCCCACAUUACCUCAGCGCUGUGCCUCUCCUCCCAGGAGUGAUACUGGUUUCAGAAUCAUCUUCAUUAUAGCUACCUCCCAUGUGAAACAAGGCACCAGGGGUCUCAGGCAGCCAGGUCCAUGAGGUCAGCAUUCAAAAGCCUUCAAAAGCUUUUUUUUUUUAAAGUUCCAAGGAACUGUCUCUGGAGUGUAGUUAUCUGACAGAACACAGCACAAGAAAACAUCUGAGCUUAGAAACAAGAGAACUGUGCAGUCCAUGAACUUGACUGACUGAACUCAGGGAACUUCUCUGACCCAAAUGAGAUAAAUCUUAGGCAGAAUUCCUAAAUAUCAGAAGCGGUUAACCUGUGGCUUCUCCAGAUUUUGUUGGACUGCAGUUCCCCCCAUCUCUGGCUAUUAGUCAUGUUGGCUUGAUAGAGUAAUAGAGUCCAACAACAUCUGGAAGGCCACAGGUUAGACACCCCUACUAAAUAUAUUUUCUGGGUGAAACUCAGACUUCCAGGGAGUUUGAAGAGAGCUGUUGGAGCUGUGAUUAAUGUUCAGCACUUGGACAAAGCGUAGGAACACUUUUAAGCGUUGCGCAAUUUUUGUAACACUUCACCAAAAGCACUUCCUCCUCCCCAUCAAACACAAAAAUCAAAACUCAUGGAAAUUCAGCUCAGCUCUAAGCGCAGAAUAAAAAGUGUUUGCACUAUCCCACUGCCUCACACAAAACUGGCAAUACAGGAGGUACUUUUUUCAAUCUUUUCCUUAUUUUCAAAACGUAGUUGGAACAGUAUCAUGUCGUUACUCAGUGAAAGCCUCUGCUGGCAGCUGAAAACUGCUAAAGAACUGAGCGAUAAACGUAACUAUGCACCUCUCACAUGAAAGUGCUUUCAUUAUGAAGAACUGCUAUUCCCUUUUCAAACAUUCAAUGGGGUUGUGAAGGCACAAUUCUAUUUUUCAAUCCACAAAGUAAACUGAUGCAAUCAGUUUGUGCCACAGAUCUAAAACUGGCAUGAGACAUCCAACUUUACAUUUAUCAACUGCAAACAUAUUCAUGGUGGAAAGAACUCUGUAGAAAAAGGCACAAAUUCCCCAUGCCCAUGAAGUUGCAGCCAGGAUUGAUACUCAGCCCGUCUUAAAAAACCAAGCUUGAACUUCAAAAACAUUGGCUGAGGACCCUGGGUUAUCACUUGUAUACUUGCCAAAAAACAAACAAACAAACAAACAAAAACACCCUUUGUAUAAAGUGCAACAAAUUCUAUAUUUUUUUUCAUUAAUUUGCUCAGAAAUAUGAUUUAUGUGCAUUGCUUACUGUUUAAUUACUUUGUUUUCUAGAAGUUCCUUCCUGCUUGUUUGUAAGGAAAUAGUCAAUUAAGAAUCUAAUGAAUCCUCUCCUGUGACAGAAUUAAUUUGGGAAGCUGUGACCUCAUGUAAAGAGGCAUCAAAGCUGGUUAAUAUGUAACACAGAGACACUCCGCGCAGACUGAUGAUCAUUACAUGAAGCAUCUUUGAUCUGCUGUAGUUUCCAGCAAAACAAGGGAAAACAUGCGCUCGGCUCCAGCUCUGGCAGAAAAACACUCUACAUCGGAAAUGUACGGUAAUGUUAAGAGCAGACGGUGUUACUAAGAUAUGGCAAAGAUGAUGGAAUGUAAUCCCCGAAGAGGAAAGUACUGCAAUUUUCCACCUUUGAUUUCAGACACAUGGUAAGAACAUCACUAGACCUCCAACAACUCAACUUGGAACAAAUCAGACAUAGCUCAGAGCCUCACAUAAAGGGAAGCUGAAAUCUCAGUUGAAUGUCUAUGGAUCAAGAUGGGGUGUCUUUAUGUAACUUAUUUAUACUUGAAUUAUGUUGUUGUUGUUUAGUCGUUCAGUCGUGUCCGACUCUUCGUGACCCCAUGGACCAGAGCACGCCAGGCACUCCUGUCUUCCACUGCCUCCCGCAGUUUGGUCAAACUCAUGCUGGUAGCUUCGAGAACACUAUCCAACCAUCUGGUCCUCUGUCGUCCCCUUCUCCUUGUGCCCUCCAUCUUUCCCAGCAUCAGGGUCUUUUCCAGGGAGUCUUCUCUUCUCAGGAGGUGGCCAAAGUAUUGGAGCCUCAGCUUCACGAUCUGUCCUUCCAGUGAGCACUCAGGGCUGAUUUCCUUCAGAAUGGAGAGGUUUGAAAACUUGGUGAUUUGUGGGGAAAUGAAUCACUUGGCAUGAUUUGUAGACCCAGCAAAUUCCAUUUCAAAUGGGAUACCUAACAACCCUGCUGAAUACUCAGUUGCCACCAGGUUGCACAAGAGCCCUCUUUGCAUGUUACUCGUGUGAAAGGGCAACGCAGAUUCAACGGGGCUGUGCAUUCAGCCUCAACCCUGGAGAUGGUUUUACUCCUUGCAGCCCACACAGGUUGAUUUAGAGAGGAGUAGGUUUCCCAGAUGAUUAAGAACCCUAAACCCUAAAGCAUAUUGGAAAGUCUAUGUCAGACUUUCUCAAC
RNAcentral lists this long non-coding RNA (7078 nucleotides) under Podarcis lilfordi (Lilford's wall lizard). Lineage: Eukaryota; Metazoa; Chordata; Lepidosauria; Squamata; Lacertidae. The record is from RNAcentral.